Long non-coding RNA from Girardinichthys multiradiatus, 578 nucleotides. RefSeq lists it as uncharacterized. The record is from RefSeq and is a predicted model, not a curated record. The transcript has 3 exons. NCBI's taxonomy places the organism in Eukaryota, Metazoa, Chordata, Actinopteri, Cyprinodontiformes, Goodeidae.
CAUUGUGCUGUGAGUGAGAGGCUUGUACUUGUCUGUGUGAGAGGUAAACUUGUCACGGAAGAGGCGGGGUAAAAGUUGGCUUGCGCAUGCGUAGAUCCCAAACUGAGCGACAUUGCUUUAAUACAGAGCGUCCAGUAGGUGGCAGCGAAUUAUCGGCCAAUAACUAUGAGCUCCAGAGAAGAAUGCGAAACAUGGCUAAUGGCAACGUGAGUAAAGACAGAAUAGGUCAAGCAGCCGCAAUUUUAAAUAGUAUUUUAUCAUCACCGGAGGCAACAAGCAGUGUGACCUUCGCCUUAAACGAAAGAGCUUCUUUGACCCCCCGCAGUGAUUCGGUUGAGACAGAAUUAGCAUCUCUGUUUCGUGCUGGAGCAGCUAGCCGAAGUUCGGCGGUGUCAACAGUAAAUCAAGGACCAAGUUCGGUGGCUCCUGUAGCUCCACGUUUCCAAGCCCAGCAGUGUUUUGGACCUUGGACUACUAACAGGAGAAGAAGAUGCAUAGUUUCCUUUGUUGAUCAUCGGAUUUCUCUUCAGUUAAGUAUUCAAUUCAAUUCAGUUUUAUUUAUAUAGCGCCAAUUCACA